RNAcentral lists this ribosomal RNA (253 nucleotides) under uncultured bacterium. Its description in RNAcentral is "partial 16S ribosomal RNA". It matches the Rfam family "Bacterial small subunit ribosomal RNA", at positions 524 to 776 of the family's 1533-position model. The record is from RNAcentral.
CACGUAGGGUGCGAGCGUUGUCCGGAAUUAUUGGGCGUAAAGAGCUCGUAGGCGGUGUGUCGCGUCGGCCGUGAAAACCUGCAGCUUAACUCCGGGCCUGCAGUCGAUACGGGCGGACUUGAGUUCGGCAGGGGAGACUGGAAUUCCUGGUGUAGCGGUGAAAUGCGCAGAUAUCAGGAGGAACACCGGUGGCGAAGGCGGGUCUCUGGGCCGAUACUGACGCUGAGGAGCGAAAGCGUGGGGAGCGAACAGG